RNAcentral lists this long non-coding RNA (1417 nucleotides) under Heterocephalus glaber (naked mole-rat). RNAcentral describes it as "lncRNA (ENSHGLG00000046893.1)". Lineage: Eukaryota; Metazoa; Chordata; Mammalia; Rodentia; Bathyergidae. The record is from RNAcentral.
CCAUUUAGCAAGAAAAGGGAAAGAAUAUAAAUACAUGUAACAAAUAAACACAUUUCAAAAUAAUUAUCCCAAAUGAAAGAAGCCAAACAGAUGCCUAUGGUAUCAUUCCAUUAUAGAAAUUUGUUGAAAAUGCAAACUAAUCUGCAACAGCAGAAAAGAGAUUAGUGGUUGACUGAAUGGGGGGAAAGUAUGAGGAAGGAGGGCUGGAUGAUGAAGAGGCAUAAAUUAAUUUUCUUGGGGGUGAUGGGUAUGUUCAUUUUUCUUAUUGUGAUGGUUUGAAAGGUUACACUUAGGUCAAAACUCAUCAAAUUGUACAUUUUCAAACAAGUUCCAUUUAUCAUAUGUGAAUUAUACUACAAUAAACUUGUAAAAUAUAUUUUGAGGACAAUGGGAGAAAUUUGAAAGUGGACUGGAUAUGAGAAUUAGAUUGAUAAUGACAUUUCAAUUAUGUGGGAAAAUAGCCUUAUUUUUAGGAGAUGAAUACUCAAUUAUUUGAGGGUGUAAUGUUAUAAUGUUUAUAACUAUUUCAGGAAAAAAUUAAAUAUACAAUGUUAAAUCAAGACAAAAGUGAAACAUAUAUGUAUUUUACUGUUCUUGCAACACUUCUUUUUUGAAACAGGGUCUUGCUAUGUAGUUCAGGCUGGUCUUGAACUCAUUAUGCAGCCCAGGCUGGCCUCAAACUUGGAGUGAUCCUCCUGCCUCAGCCUACUGAGCCCUGGAAUUAUAGGUGUGCACCACCAUGCCCAGUUUAAUACUUUUACCUGAUUUAAAUUGUACUAAUUAUCAUACAUCAAGUACCUAUGAAAAAUGUGAUCCACAUACUAUAAACAUGUAUAAAAAUAAUAAUUAUAUAUAUGAAAGGGUCCAAGGGAGGCAGGGAGGUGGGGGGAGGGAAAGGGAAGAAGUUAAAAAAAGAAAUAAGAGGGCCACGGAUUUAGCUCAGUGGUUUCGUCGCCUGCUGCGCAAGCGCAAGGACCCAAGUUCGAUCCCCGGUACCAAAAAAAAAAAAAAGAAAUAAGUAAUGUCAUGUACAUGUACCAACUCCUCACAAUGAAACUAACCAUUAAAAAAAACCCAGUAACCAUUGUAUACUAUAAACAUAUACCAGUAAAAAAAGAAAAUGUACUCAUUAAAAUAUGGAGGGAAACACUGUUUUAUUUCCCAUCCUCCUCUUCAGAUAGGCACAUUAUCUUAUUACCCUAGAAUGUAACCAAAUCUGCUCUGCAAAUGUUUCCAGAGAGGGAGACAUUCUCUAUCUUCACUAUCCUGAAAUAAAAAUAAAUCUGAGAAAAUCAGUUGUUAAUGAAUAAACAUGAGAGUUUCAUGGAAAUUGACUCUCAACAGGAGGCUAGAUUUCAUCACACAAAAUAAAAAUGAUAUGAAAUGAAUGUAGAAUGCUACAAAAUAAAUAUAGAAG